GCUGAGGCAGGAGAAUGGCGUGAACCCGGGAGACGACGGAGCUUGCAGUGAGCCGAGAUUGUGCCACUGCACUCCGGUCUGGGCGACAGAGCAAGACGCUGUCUCAAAAAAAAAAAAAAAAGGAAAGAAUGAAAACACUGAGGUUAGACUAACUGAUGAAGAGUGGUAACGGCAUAAAGAAGUCGAAAAGAAAGGCGGAUAGGAGCUGCAUUCAAUAUAUGAGUACAGCUGAUGGAUGCUGACAGAGAGGGUUCCUCUGGAGACGAAGCCUCGGCCUCUUCGGUAGUCUCCAGUCUUCCAUUUGCUCGCUGCAGUUACAUCAACAGCUCUCUGUAUAGGGGUAGUUGCAUAAAAUACAACUUAAAUCACAAUACUAAAAUAAAUAUGAGCCCAUGAGCAAUGCUAAAAUAAAUACGAGCCCAUGAACGGUAUCAUAGGCCUGAUUUUAAAAAACAAAACCUAGGAGAAGAUAGAAAUUCCAAAGGCGAGAGACGAAUCUGCCAACCCAAAUCCUGGGUGACAAGGCUGGUGGGUCACCGAGGCAAGAACAAACCAGCGCGAGCUCAAGCCACACCCCUAGGCUCAGACCCAACGCUUGACAUUCGCCGCCGCACUUUCGCCACGCUUUCCCAAGCGCACCCGGCAAACUGAAGGAGGCGGGGCUGAAACCAUAAAAGGGGACUGCGCGGAGCGAGCCGCGUCGUCGCCAAGGCAACUCGAGAGCUAGGCGUAGCGAACCGACUGAAGGCAGCUGAGGUUGCUCCUGGCGCGGUUCAUCAUCGGCCGCCGCACUUUCGCGACUGAGACAAAACGACGCUCACCUUUACUUAGUGGAAGGCUUCGCUUACAUCCUGAAUUUAAGGGAACUACAGAAGGGGACAGAAACUGCUUUCUUUUUAAACAAUGCCCUGAAAGGUUACUAGUGACAGGGGGCUUAGUGAAGCGCGUGAUGUGAACGGCCAAGCUACAAGGCUGGAGAGAAAAGAGGAGGGGGAUGAAGUUGCACCCUGAUCGCGAUUCCUCGGCCUUUUGUCAGGGGCGCCGCCACUCGGGAUCCGACCAUUCGCCUCCAACGAGGGGACAGCGAAUCUGCUGUCGUGUGCAGUCCACAGCAACCACAGGUGGGGCAACAGGAGGAGCGCUUGGGCACGACCACGUGACCCAACACGAGCCACCGCCCGCCCCAAAAUGAAAUCAAAUCCUAAUCUCCCAAUCCCGGCAUUCCGGUCACUCCAGCAUUUCCAGGAGACUUGCGGCCCUGCAGCCCCUACACCUUUAUCUGGGCUCCUGUCCUACUUGGCCCAGCUCCACUGGAUUCAGCCCUGGGAUAACCACCCUACCAGCUCCUAAAGAUUAUUCCAUCCCCGUGGGUAUACUUAAUUAAAGAAAGAAAAACAGGA
RNAcentral lists this long non-coding RNA (1400 nucleotides) under Macaca fascicularis (crab-eating macaque). Its description in RNAcentral is "lncRNA (ENSMFAG00000062225.1)". Lineage: Eukaryota; Metazoa; Chordata; Mammalia; Primates; Cercopithecidae. The record is from RNAcentral.